ACGCUUAGGCGUGUGACUGCGUACCUUUUGUAUAAUGGGUCAGCGACUUAUAUUCUGUAGCAAGGUUAACCGAAUAGGGGAGCCGAAGGGAAACCGAGUCUUAACUGGGCGUUAAGUUGCAGGGUAUAGACCCGAAACCCGGUGAUCUAGCCAUGGGCAGGUUGAAGGUUGGGUAACACUAACUGGAGGACCGAACCGACUAAUGUUGAAAAAUUAGCGGAUGACUUGUGGCUGGGGGUGAAAGGCCAAUCAAACCGGGAGAUAGCUGGUUCUCCCCGAAAGCUAUUUAGGUAGCGCCUCGUGAAUUCAUCUCCGGGGGUAGAGCACUGUUUCGGCAAGGGGGUCAUCCCGACUUACCAACCCGAUGCAAACUGCGAAUACCGGAGAAUGUUAUCACGGGAGACACACGGCGGGUGCUAACGUCCGUCGUGAAGAGGGAAACAACCCAGACCGCCAGCUAAGGUCCCAAAGUCAUGGUUAAGUGGGAAACGAUGUGGGAAGGCCCAGACAGCCAGGAUGUUGGCUUAGAAGCAGCCAUCAUUUAAAGAAAGCGUAAUAGCUCACUGGUCGAGUCGGCCUGCGCGGAAGAUGUAACGGGGCUAAACCAUGCACCGAAGCUGCGGCAGCGACGCUUAUGCGUUGUUGGGUAGGGGAGCGUUCUGUAAGCCUGCGAAGGUGUGCUGUGAGGCAUGCUGGAGGUAUCAGAAGUGCGAAUGCUGACAUAAGUAACGAUAAAGCGGGUGAAAAGCCCGCUCGCCGGAAGACCAAGGGUUCCUGUCCAACGUUAAUCGGGGCAGGGUGAGUCGACCCCUAAGGCGAGGCCGAAAGGCGUAGUCGAUGGGAAACAGGUUAAUAUUCCUGUACUUGGUGUUACUGCGAAGGGGGGACGGAGAAGGCUAUGUUGGCCGGGCGACGGUUGUCCCGGUUUAAGCGUGUAGGCUGGUUUUCCAGGCAAAUCCGGAAAAUCAAGGCUGAGGCGUGAUGACGAGGCACUACGGUGCUGAAGCAACAAAUGCCCUGCUUCCAGGAAAAGCCUCUAAGCAUCAGGUAACAUCAAAUCGUACCCCAAACCGACACAGGUGGUCAGGUAGAGAAUACCAAGGCGCUUGAGAGAACUCGGGUGAAGGAACUAGGCAAAAUGGUGCCGUAACUUCGGGAGAAGGCACGCUGAUAUGUAGGUGAAGUCCCUUGCGGAUGGAGCUGAAAUCAGUCGAAGAUACCAGCUGGCUGCAACUGUUUAUUAAAAACACAGCACUGUGCAAACACGAAAGUGGACGUAUACGGUGUGACGCCUGCCCGGUGCCGGAAGGUUAAUUGAUGGGGUCAGCGCAAGCGAAGCUCUUGAUCGAAGCCCCGGUAAACGGCGGCCGUAACUAUAACGGUCCUAAGGUAGCGAAAUUCCUUGUCGGGUAAGUUCCGACCUGCACGAAUGGCGUAAUGAUGGCCAGGCUGUCUCCACCCGAGACUCAGUGAAAUUGAACUCGCUGUGAAGAUGCAGUGUACCCGCGGCAAGACGGAAAGACCCCGUGAACCUUUACUAUAGCUUGACACUGAACAUUGAGCCUUGAUGUGUAGGAUAGGUGGGAGGCUUUGAAGUGUGGACGCCAGUCUGCAUGGAGCCGGCCUUGAAAUACCACCCUUUAAUGUUUGAUGUUCUAACGUGGACCCGUGAUCCGGGUUGCGGACAGUGUCUGGUGGGUAGUUUGACUGGGGCGGUCUCCUCCUAAAGAGUAACGGAGGAGCACGAAGGUUGGCUAAUCCUGGUCGGACAUCAGGAGGUUAGUGCAAUGGCAUAAGCCAGCUUGACUGCGAGCGUGACGGCGCGAGCAGGUGCGAAAGCAGGUCAUAGUGAUCCGGUGGUUCUGAAUGGAAGGGCCAUCGCUCAACGGAUAAAAGGUACUCCGGGGAUAACAGGCUGAUACCGCCCAAGAGUUCAUAUCGACGGCGGUGUUUGGCACCUCGAUGUCGGCUCAUCACAUCCUGGGGCUGAAGUAGGUCCCAAGGGUAUGGCUGUUCGCCAUUUAAAGUGGUACGCGAGCUGGGUUUAGAACGUCGUGAGACAGUUCGGUCCCUAUCUGCCGUGGGCGCUGGAGAACUGAGGGGGGCUGCUCCUAGUACGAGAGGACCGGAGUGGACGCAUCACUGGUGUUCGGGUUGUCAUGCCAAUGGCACUGCCCGGUAGCUAAAUGCGGAAGAGAUAAGUGCUGAAAGCAUCUAAGCACGAAACUUGCCCCGAGAUGAGUUCUCCCUGACCCUUUAAGGGUCCUGAAGGAACGUUGAAGACGACGACGUUGAUAGGCCGGGUGUGUAAGCGCAGCGAUGCGUUGAGCUAACCGGUACUAAUGAACCGUGAGGCUUAACCUUACAACGCCGAAG
RNAcentral lists this ribosomal RNA (2376 nucleotides) under Shigella sonnei. Its description in RNAcentral is "bacterial LSU rRNA". It matches the Rfam family "Bacterial large subunit ribosomal RNA", at positions 581 to 2925 of the family's 2925-position model. The record is from RNAcentral. Lineage: Bacteria; Pseudomonadati; Pseudomonadota; Gammaproteobacteria; Enterobacterales; Enterobacteriaceae.